This 445-nucleotide ribosomal RNA is filed under the name uncultured bacterium. RNAcentral describes it as "bacterial SSU rRNA". It matches the Rfam family "Bacterial small subunit ribosomal RNA", at positions 958 to 1400 of the family's 1533-position model. The record is from RNAcentral.
AACGCGAAGAACCUUACCUGGGCUUGAACUACUCGUGGUAAGCUGGUGGAAACACUAGCUGACCCGCAAGGGAGCGAGCAGAGGUGCUGCAUGGUUGUCGUCAGCUCGUGUCGUGAGAUGUUGGGUUAAGUCCCGCAACGAGCGCAACCCCUACUCGAUGUUGCUAAUCCCGCAAGGGAUGCACUCUUCGAGAACUGCCUUCGAUAAGAAGGAGGAAGGUGGGGACGACGUCAAAUCCUCAUGGCCCUUAUGUCCAGGGCUACACACGUGCUACAAUGGCCGGUACAACGGGAAGCAAUACCGUAAGGUGGAGCCAAACCCUGAAAGCCGGCCCCAGUUCAGAUUGUGGGCUGCAACUCGCCCACAUGAAGGCGGAAUCGCUAGUAAUCGCGAAUCAGCAGGUCGCGGUGAAUACGUUCCCGGGCUUUGUACACACCGGUAUCUC